Molecule: RNA transcript, 1913 nt
Organism: Callithrix jacchus (white-tufted-ear marmoset)
Lineage: Eukaryota; Metazoa; Chordata; Mammalia; Primates; Cebidae
Gene: TTC29
Gene name: tetratricopeptide repeat domain 29
Source: RefSeq, a predicted model, not a curated record
CUCUGUUUCCCUGGAGACGCUCUCCGCGUCCACUCCGCUUAGGCGGAGCCAGGUCUCAGAAUCUAGCAAGAGGAGGGGGCAGCGCCUGCGUCCAGCACCUGCCGCCGGUGGGGGACUUAGUUCGGCGGAACCGAAAACUGGAGUUGUUCACCUGGGCCAGUGCACCAAGGCUAAAGUCUAUAAGCCUGGAGAGACCAUCAGCAGUAAUCUGUAAAUUCCGAAAUGACCACUCUGCCUCCACUGCCCAUGAUACGCCCAAAGCUUACAGCCUUAGCCAGACAGAAGCUGCCAUGCUCCUCCAGAAAAAUUUCAAAGUCUCAACUGAUCAAAGAAAAAGAUGACAUAGAUCAUUAUCUAGAGGUGAAUUUCAAAGGAUUGUCAAAAGAGGAGGUUGCUGCUUAUAGGAACUCCUACAAGAAGAACGUCUGUGUGGACAUGCUGCGAGAUGGUUAUCAUAAGUCCUUCACCGAGCUCUUCGCUCUGAUGGAGCAGUGGGAUGCCCUGAGGGAGGCUGCGAGAGUCAGGUCCCUCUUUUGGCCUCAGAAGCCCCUGGAGGAUCAGCCUGAUAAACUGGAUCACUUCUACCACUACCUGACGAGGGCUGAGUACGCUGAGAGGAAGGGAUCCUUUGAAGAUGUGUAUAAUAACUUGUAUGCUCUGGCCUGUUACUUCAAUAAUUCUGAAGACAAGUGGGUAAGGAACCACUUCUACAAACGAUGUUUUAAGAUUGCUCAGCUGAUCAAAAUUGACAGUGGGAAGAAAGAAGCCGAGGCACAUAUGCACAUGGGUCUUCUCUACGAGGAAGAUGGUCAGCUUCUGGAAGCUGCUGAGCAUUAUGAAGCAUUCCAUCAAUUGACUCAGGGACGGAUAUGGAAGGAUGAGACAGGCCACUUUCUCAACUUCUUGGCCUGUGAGAGUCUCCUGAGGACUUACAGAUUACUCUCAGACAAAAUGUUGGAAAAUAAAGAAUACAAACAGGCCAUCAAAAUUCUAAUAAAAGCUUCUGAAAUAGCCAAAGAAGGAGGUGACAAAAAGAUGGAAGGGGAAGCCUGUUACUACUUGGGCUUAGCACAUUUAGCUGCUGAAGAAUAUGACUUAGCAUUAACAGUCCUUGACACUUACUGUAAAAUCUCUACAGACCUGGGUGAUGAUCUCAGCCUGGGGAGAGCCUAUGAAGCCAUCGCCAAGGUCCUGCAGAGCCAAGGAGAGAUGACAGAAGCAAUUAAAUACUUGGAAAAAGUAGUGAAAAUUGCAAGAAACAAUUUUCAAAGCCUAGAUUUUGUGAGAGCAAGUACAAUGCUUGGGGACAUCUACAAUCAAAAAGGACACUACAAGAAAGCUUCUGAAUGCUUUCAGCAAGCUUUUGACACAGCAUUAGAGCUAAUGAGCAUGCCUCUGAUGGACGAGACAGAAGUCCACUAUGGAAUAGCAAAAGCUCAUCAGAUGAUGCUUACAGUGAACAACUACAUAGAGUCUGCAGAUCUUACCAGCCUCAAUUCCCUGCUCUCAUGGAAGGAGCGCAGAGGUGACAUUGAAUCUGAUCCAGUUACUGAUUUAGGAGUACAAGUGCAAUUUUGUUACAUGGAUAUAUUGUGUAGCAGUAAAGUCUGGGCUUUUAGUGUAGUGUACCUGUCAUCCAAAUAGUGAACAAUGGAGGCAACAGAAGAGUUUAGAGGAUCCACAGUGGAAGGUGUAUCUCAAAACUCAACAUUUGGAAGAACUCAGCAGAUUUCCAGGUGAUCAAAAAAAUCAAACUUAAAGCAGCUUUUCACUUAACAUCAAAGCAAGAAGAAAUCCCUCAUGUCACUUAGACUUCGAUACUUGUCUUGAGUCUUGAGACUUCAAUACUUGUAAUAGAAGCAUGUUACAAAUAAUAAAGAGUUAUGAUAAAACUGACUAUGACUGUUUUCAUU